CUACUAUAACCCACCAGCAGGUAAGCCAACCCGUAACCCGGAACAACAAGUAAUGGGUCUGAGGGUAGAAAUUAAACAGGAGUAGGCAAAUAACAAUAUAAACAGGCGGAAGCAAACCAAAAACAUAUAUACAAAUAGAGAUCCCUCCCAGAACCUGGAAGUCACUAGUACAGAGCUACUACAAAAUGAGUACAAGUCCUAAAACCGGACAACAGAGACUGGACUGUCUCGAAAGGAAAAAGACAAGUCUAUAUAUACAGAUGGAGACUGAAAUAGUACAAAACGCCGUGUGCUCACCCCCGUCUCCGGAUAAGUCUACUCCAGGCUAGAUCAACGCUGGCUACUAGUGCUCGGACCUGCAUCACAAAAUAGAUGCAGAGCGUAGCAUGAGUACCAAAACAACAGGUACCCAGUAGGCAUCAUCGGCCGACUGAGCAAGAUAAGCAAAAGUAAACUGAAAUGCAAAUAAAGGGUCACAUCAAGNN
Molecule: long non-coding RNA, 485 nt
Filed under: Solanum tuberosum (potato)
Lineage: Eukaryota; Viridiplantae; Streptophyta; Magnoliopsida; Solanales; Solanaceae
Description: long non-coding RNA (STUB_LNC008466)
Source: RNAcentral